UGUCCUUAAAAUAAACUAUUAUCUGAUUGUACAUGUUAAACACGUGCUCAAUAUCAAUGCUUUUUUGUUGGUUGUUGACAAACAGGUGACAAUCGUUAAACUAUGGCUUCAAAACACGAACUUUAAUUACCUGCCAUAUUUUCACAACAACACUGACCGAUUGAAUAAAAAAUGACGAUUAUAUGAAUUUUAUGCAAAAAAAUUUAAAAAAUCAUGCACAGAAGACUAAGUUUAUGAUGUUUGUAUGCAUUGGUUCAAGAAUUGUAAUAAC
RNAcentral lists this long non-coding RNA (271 nucleotides) under Mytilus galloprovincialis (Mediterranean mussel). Lineage: Eukaryota; Metazoa; Mollusca; Bivalvia; Mytilida; Mytilidae. The record is from RNAcentral.